This 1593-nucleotide ribosomal RNA is filed under the name Triticum aestivum (bread wheat). RNAcentral's name for it is "partial small subunit ribosomal RNA". Lineage: Eukaryota; Viridiplantae; Streptophyta; Magnoliopsida; Poales; Poaceae. The record is from RNAcentral.
AUGUUGUUAGACAACAAUGAACCUUCGAACUAUGAAGAAGCGAUGGCGGGCCCGGAUUCCAACAAAUGGCUUGAAGCCAUGAAAUCCGAGAUAGAAUCCAUGUAUGAAAACAAAGUAUGGACUUUGACAAACUUGCCCGAUGAUCGGCGAGCGAUAGAAAACAAAUGGAUCUUUAAGAAGAAGACGGACGCGGAUGGUAAUGUUACAAUCUAUAAGGCUCGACUUGUCGCUAAGGGUUAUCGACAAGUUCAAGGGAUUAACUACGACGAGACUUUCUCUCCCGUAGCGAAGCUGAAGUCCGUCCGAAUCAUGUUAGCAAUUGCCGCAUACUAUGAUUAUGAGAUAUGGCAAAUGGACGUCAAAACGGCAUUCCUUAACGGGCAUAUUAAGGAAGAACUGUAUAUGAUGCAGCCGGAAGGUUUUGUCGAUCCUCGGAACGCUAACAAAGUAUGCAAGCUCCAGCGAUCCAUUUAUGGACUGGUGCAAGCAUCUCGGAGUUGGAACAUUCGCUUUGAUGAGAUGAUCAAAGCGUUUGGGUUUAUGCAGACUUAUGGAGAAGCCUGCGUUUACAAGAAAGUGAGUGGGAGCUCUGUAGCAUUUCUCAUAUUAUAUGUAGAUGACAUACUCUUGAUGGGAAAUAAUAUAGAAUUUCUGGACAGCAUUAAGGCCUACUUGAAUAAGUGUUUUUCAAUGAAGGACCUUGGAAAAGCUGCUUAUAUAUUAGGCAUCAAGAUCUAUAGAGAUAGAUCGAGACGCCUCAUAGGUCUUUCACAAAGCACAUACCUUGAUAAGAUUUUGAAGAGGUUCAAAAUGGAUCAGUCCAAGAAGGGGUUCUUGCCUAUGUUACAAGGUGUGAGAUUGAGCUCGGCUCAGUCACCGACCACGGCAAAAGAUAAAGAAGAGAUGAGUGUCAUCCCCUAUGCUUCAGCCAUAGGAUCUAUUAUGUAUGCCAUGCUGUGUACCAGACCCGAUGUAAACCUUGCCGUAAGUUUGGUAGCAAGAGACCAAAGUAAUCCCGGCAAGGAACACUGGACAGCGGUCAAGAAUAUCCUGAAGUACCUGAAAAGGACGAAGGACAUGUUUCUCGUUUACGGAAGAGACGAAGAGCUCGUCGUAAAGGGUUACGUCGACGCUAGCUUCGACUCAGAUCUGGAUGACUCUAAGUCACAAACCGGAUACGUGUAUAUGUUGAAUGGUGGAGCAGUAAGCUGGUGCAGCUGCAAGCAGAGCGUCGUGGCGGGAUCUACGUGUGAAGCAGAGUACAUGGCAGCCUCGGAGGCAGCGCAUGAAGCGAUCUGGGUGAAGGAGUUCAUCACCGACCUAGGAGUCAUACCCAAUGCGUCGGGGCCGAUCAAACUCUUCUGUGACAACACUGGAGCUAUUGCCCUCGCCAAGGAGCCCAGGUUUCACAAGAAGACCAGGCACAUCAAGCGUCGUUUCAACUCCAUCCGUGAAAAUGUUCAAGAUGGAGAUAUAGAGAUUUGCAAAGUGCACAUGGAUCUGAAUGUCGCAGAUCCGCUGACUAAACCUCUCUCGCGUGCAAAACAUGAUCAACACCAGAACUCUAUGGGUGUUCGAUUCAUCACAAUGUAA